CCCCACAGGGGCUGGAGCUGCCAUCCUAGCUGAGCUCAAUCCUGAGUGGGUGAAACCUGUUUGAGGCGGAUCAGAGCCUUAGAGCCCCAGAUAGGCACACACAAAAAAAGCUAAGAAACAGAUGUGAACAAGAGCUCUCAAAAAUGCGUAGCAAAAAGGCCCACAGUUGCACCGGGUUUUCUCCAGUGGCAGUGCAGACCUGCACCAUCCCUGUGGGAGCUCGAGGAGGCAAAAUUCCUGAGCUUGCUGGCGAAGAAGGGAACACCCAAGACCACGGAAGCAAGCUACACUGAAAAACACAUAUCCAAGCGGGUCUUUUUGGCACUGAAAGCCAAGCUGCUAUCCUGUGCCACAACACACAACCUGCUCAUUGUGUCAGAUCUUUAAACGGUUAUCUGCUAACAACGUGAAACGUGUACGUGGUGGGCGUGAGAUUCAUCAGUACGUCCGGAUGUGCACACUCUUCAGAGCUUGCGUGCUGCCUGUUUGUUUAUUGGGCGUAUCUUCUAGACUAACACAGAUCCUGACUUCACCAGGCAGCUUGGCGCAUACACACAGACUAACGUAUCA
Mauremys mutica (yellowpond turtle) is the source of this 570-nucleotide long non-coding RNA. RefSeq lists it as uncharacterized. NCBI's taxonomy places the organism in Eukaryota, Metazoa, Chordata, Testudines, Geoemydidae. The transcript has 4 exons. The record is from RefSeq and is a predicted model, not a curated record.